Long non-coding RNA from Bos taurus (domestic cattle), 3146 nucleotides. Lineage: Eukaryota; Metazoa; Chordata; Mammalia; Artiodactyla; Bovidae. The record is from Ensembl.
AGCUCUGGAGUGGAGAUAACAUUACAGAGCUGUCUCACCCCACAAGGAGCUCUGGAGUGGAGAUAACAUUACAGAGCCGUCUCAGCCCACAAGGAGCUCUGGAGUGGAGAUAACAUUACAGAGCCGUCUCAGCCCACAAGGAGCUCUGGAGUGGAGAUCACAUUACAGAGCCGUCUCACCCCACAAGGAGCUCUGGAGUGGAGAUCACAUUACAGAGCCGUCUCACCCCACAAGGAGCUCUGGAGUGGAGAUCACAUUACAGAGCCGUCUCAGCCCACAAGGAGCUCUGGAGUGGAGAUCACAUUACAGAGCCGUCUCAGCCCACAAGGAGCUCUGGAGUGGAGAUCACAUUACAGAGCCGUCUCAGCCCACAAGGAGCUCUGGAGUGGAGAUCACAUCACAGAGCUGUCUCACCCCACAAGGAGCUCUGGAGUGGAGAUCACAUUACAGAGCUGUCUCAGCCCACAAGGAGCUCUGGAGUGGAGAUCACAUUACAGAGCCGUCUCAGCCCACAAGGAGCUCUGGAGUGGAGAUCACAUUACAGAGCCGUCUCAGCCCACAAGGAGCUCUGGAGUGGAGAUCACAUUACAGAGCCGUCUCAGCCCACAAGGAGCUCUGGAGUGGAGAUCACAUCACAGAGCUGUCUCACCCCACAAGGAGCUCUGGAGUGGAGAUCACAUCACAGAGCUGUCUCACCCCACAAGGAGCUCUGGAGUGGAGAUCACAUCACAGAGCUGUCUCACCCCACAAGGAGCUCUGGAGUGGAGAUCACAUCACAGAGCUGUCUCACUCUAAGGCAAGAAGCUUGGCCUUUGGUACUUUCGUAUUAGUCUGUCAUUGACUGUGUGCUGUCUCUGAAAUGGAGCACAUAACCUCCUGGGACUUUCUGGACAAAGUGACUUUCUUUGGCUAAAGGUGUCUGGUAUCAACCCACCAAUAAGGCUAGAGAUUUUGGGCUCAAACCCAGCCAGUGCCAAUAUCAAAGGGACCCAUUUGAAGGGCAGAUUCCAAAGGAUUCCAGGGACAGAAUCUGGUAGCAAGUUUGCUGGGCAGUGGUCCCAUGAACUGGAGAUGGGGAGGAGUCGGAGGGCAUCACCUCUGACGUUUGAGGUCAUUGUCCAUCUAAAACAGAUCUCAGUCCAAAGCUGGGUUGAUGAGAUGUUGACCAAGUCUGAGCAGUCAGUCCCAGAUGGAUUGGGAUCAGAGUCAGCCCCAUCUUGAGGGGAAUAUAUUGUUCUUUUUCAGGAAAUUAAGACAGAAACCCAGCUAUGGGGGUCAGACCAGCUCACAACAGAGAGAAACCGAAGAUUACAGUUCUUCUCAGGGAGCAAGUGGGACUCCAACCCUCUCUCCAUGGGGAGAGACCCAUGAAGGUGCCAGGGGUUAGGAAGAGAGAUAUAUUGGUUCAGGUUACUCUUGCAGCUGUAACAAAUAACCUCCAUCAUUUCAGUACCCUCAUAUGAGUGUUUUCACCAUUUGGAUACUCAAGUUCCUUCUGUCGUGUAGGUCCAUCAUUCCCCAGCAUCUGCAUCUAGGCAGAAGAAGGGAAGAGGGAGAAAGCACACCUGCUUCUUAACCUCCUUGCCUAAGAGAGACACAGAUCACUUUUGCUCAUACGCAAUUGGGGAGAACCGGUCACAUGACUUCACGUAGCAGCAAAGGUAGCUGGGAAUUAUAGUUCCUGCUGGGCUGAAGGCCUCAGGGAGAACUCUUAUAUCACAGAAGGGGAGCUUGCAUUUUGAUGAGCAGUGGCCACCCCUGCCCUGGGAGCCUAGCAGACGCCCUAUCAGAAAGAGGUCUCAGUGAGCCCAGCUGAGGGGUGGGAUCAUGUCUUUGCCCUGCUGACAAGCAGUUCUCCUGUAUACAACUUGGCCCCUGAAAUUGUCUGAAUGGAUUUGAGCACUUUCCAACCCAACAGACUGUGGAAUUGGACUAAGGUGAUAAGGACUCAGUGAAACGUGGAGCCUUGCAAAGUACACAGGAAAAAUAAGUGAAUGCAUGAAAUGACAAUUUCCUGACAGUGGGACCUAGGUUCUGGGAACAGCUUCUGAGUACACAGGGUUUGCGAUAAAUCCGGUUUUUCUCCUGUAGCUUCUGUUUGUGCUCAGGUUGUGUUUGAUCAACUCGAUUUCUGUUUGGAAUCAAGGAUCUUCUCCUGCUCGCUUAUUCCUGGCCUUCUCCUGGAGCCGUAGUGCCUCUGUGUAAGGCUGAAUUCAUAGCCCGAGGACAUUGUCUCAGCAGCUCCUUGUAAUGAUCUAAAUAUAGACGCCUCACCUCAGGUGCAGAGCAAGCAGAGGAGAGACUGCUUUGCAGACUCCUUGCUGCGGCAUCCUUGGUCGAGGGCUGGAGGACAAGAUUCCAGUCUGGGUCUCUCCACUUACUCUGCGAUCUUGACAAGUGACAAGGCCUUUAGCCCUGUUCCUUUAUCUGUAAAACUGGAACAGCCGCCAUGACGAAAAUGGAUGAGUCCAAAAGAGUGUGUAAAAAGUGCUGUGUCAGCAUUAGUGAUCAUGGCAGUGUCCAUGGGUGGGUUAAAGCACAGACUCUGGAGCCAGCCCUCGAACCCUGAUUAGCAUCCAGGCUUUGCUGCUUUCUAACUCUGUGACUCAGCACUGUGCAGAGAUGAAAAUGACACACAGCUGGCCCCCAGGAAGCUCACAGCCAUGCACCAGGCAGGGAGGACAGAAGAAGAACAUCAGAGCCUCAGAGGCUUUUGUCCUCCACAGCUGGGAAGAGAAAACACGAAGCACAGAUGUAGCGCUCUCUGUGGGGUGAUGCUCAGAUAUCCUUGCCCUUACUGCCUCCAGGCACAGCAGCCGGGCUUCCGGCUGCUGCGUCUGCACUUUGUUGCCAGUGGCUCGUGGCUGACUUCCAGGGAAUUCUCACUGCCUGGGAGCUGCCCUCAAACUGAGAUCGAGGGGUGUUGGGAUACCAGUACCCCAGCUCCCUAGUCCCUGAAGCAGGGAAACUCAGGUGAGUGCUGUACCAUGUCCUGAGCGCCCCUGGAAUUUGGCUCCAGGCUUCCACGGUGAUGAUGAGCUUGACAACACGCCCUGAAUUGGUUGCCUUGUCUGCCUCACUUCCCCACUCCUCGACUGUCGACUGGUAUUUUCUCGCACCUCCCAAAUAAAUCCCAGCUGCUCAAA